AUGUACAUACCUACAACAUAGUGUUAAUGCACCGAAUCCCAUUAGAGCUCCGCAGUUGAGCGCGCUCAGGCUAGAGUAGUACUGGGAUGGGUGACCACCUGGGGAGUCCUAGUAUUUUACAUG
Molecule: non-coding RNA, 123 nt
Organism: Picea glauca (white spruce)
Lineage: Eukaryota; Viridiplantae; Streptophyta; Pinopsida; Pinales; Pinaceae
Source: Rfam